Molecule: ribosomal RNA, 998 nt
Filed under: uncultured bacterium
Lineage: Bacteria
Description: bacterial SSU rRNA
Rfam family: Bacterial small subunit ribosomal RNA
Source: RNAcentral
CAGCCGCCGCGGUAAUACGGAGGAUGCAAGCGUUAUCCGGAAUUAUUGGGCGUAAAGGGUCCGCAGGUGGCACAUCAAGUCUGCUGUCAAAGACCGAAGCUUAACUUCGGGCAGGCAGUGGAAACUGGUGAGCUAGAGUACGGUAGGGGUAGAGGGAAUUUCCAGUGUAGCGGUGAAAUGCGUAGAGAUUGGAAAGAACACCAGUGGCGAAGGCGCUCUACUGGACCUGUACUGACACUGAGGGACGAAAGCUAGGGGAGCGAAAGGGAUUAGAUACCCCUGUAGUCCUAGCUGUAAACGAUGGAUACUAGGCGUUGCUUGUAUCGACCCGAGCAGUGCCGUAGCUAACGCGUUAAGUAUCCCGCCUGGGGAGUACGCACGCAAGUGUGAAACUCAAAGGAAUUGACGGGGGCCCGCACAAGCGGUGGAGUAUGUGGUUUAAUUCGAUGCAACGCGAAGAACCUUACCAGGACUUGACAUCCCGCGAAUCUGGGAGAGAUCCGAGAGUGCCCUAGGGAACGCGGAGACAGGUGGUGCAUGGCUGUCGUCAGCUCGUGUCGUGAGAUGUUGGGUUAAGUCCCGCAACGAGCGCAACCCUCGUCCUUAGUUGCCAGCAUUAAGUUGGGCACUUUGGGGAGACUGCCGGUGACAAACCGGAGGAAGGUGGGGAUGACGUCAAGUCAGCAUGCCCCUUACGUCCUGGGCUACACACGUACUACAAUGGUUGGGACAAAGGGCAGCGAGCGAGCAAUCGUGAGCGAAUCUCAUCAAACCCAGCCUCAGUUCAGAUUGCAGGCUGCAACUCGCCUGCAUGAAGGAGGAAUCGCUAGUAAUCGCAGGUCAGCAUACUGCGGUGAAUCCGUUCCCGGGCCUUGUACACACCGCCCGUCACACCAUGGAAGCUGGCCACGCCCGAAGUCGUUACCCUAACCGUUCGCGGAGGGGGAUGCCGAAGGCAGGGCUGGUGACUGGGGUGAAGUCGUAACAAGGUAACCGUA